This 881-nucleotide ribosomal RNA is filed under the name uncultured bacterium. RNAcentral's name for it is "bacterial SSU rRNA". It matches the Rfam family "Bacterial small subunit ribosomal RNA", at positions 8 to 890 of the family's 1533-position model. The record is from RNAcentral.
AGAGUUUGAUCCUGGCUCAGAACGAACGCUGGCGGCGUGCUUAACACAUGCAAGUCGAGUGCGCGUACUGUAGCAAUACAGUAUGGCGCACGGCGCACGGGUGCGUAACACGUGGGUAAUCUGCCCUUCGAUGGGGAAUAACCUCGCGAAAGCGAGGCUAAUUCCGCAUAACAUUCCGGGGAUUUCGGUUCCUGGAUUCAAAGGAGUAAUUCGUCGGAGGAGGAGCCCGCGCACGAUUAGCUAGUUGGUAGGGUAAUGGCCUACCAAGGCUUUGAUCGUUAGCUGGUCUGAGAGGAUGGCCAGCCACACUGGAACUGAGACACGGUCCAGACUCCUACGGGAGGCAGCAGUGGGGAAUCUUGCACAAUGGGCGAAAGCCUGAUGCAGCGACGCCGCGUGGGGGAUGAAGCAUUUCGGUGUGUAAACCCCUUUCGACCCGGACGAAUGCCUCGCAAGAGGACUGACGGUACGGGUAUAAGAAGCCCCGGCUAACUACGUGCCAGCAGCCGCGGUAAGACGUAGGGGGCCAGCGUUGUUCGGAAUUACUGGGUGUAAAGGGUUCGUAGGCGGUGCGGCAAGUUGGGAGUGAAAUCUCUGGGCUCAACCCAGAGGCUGCUUCCAAAACUGCUGUGCUUGAGUGUGGGAGAGGUGCGUGGAAUUGCAGGUGUAGCGGUGAAAUGCGUAGAUAUCUGCAGGAACACCCGUGGCGAAAGCGGCGCACUGGACCACAACUGACGCUGAGGAACGAAAGCUAGGGGAGCAAACAGGAUUAGAUACCCUGGUAGUCCUAGCCCUAAACGAUCAGGACUUGGGGUGCCACCCGUUCGGGUGUCGUCCCGGAGCUAACGCGUUAAGUCCUGCACCUGGGGAGUACGGUCGCA